This is a long non-coding RNA of Capsicum annuum, 535 nucleotides long. RefSeq lists it as uncharacterized. The transcript is spliced from 4 exons. Lineage: Eukaryota; Viridiplantae; Streptophyta; Magnoliopsida; Solanales; Solanaceae. The record is from RefSeq and is a predicted model, not a curated record.
UUGGAAUUAAAAUAAUUGUCAAAAACUUCCCUCCCAAAUUUCCCUCUCAAAAUCUCCCAAAAAGAACCCGACUAUCUACCUCCCUCUCAGAAUUAGAUCAUUCAAGUUCACCCUAACAUUCCCCAUUUUUACCAUCUCGUUAAAUACCCUCCACUUCAGGAAUAGCAUAUAACAUAACACAAAUAUCCAUUCCAAAUAAGUAGAAGCAUGUUACCAUAAAGAUAAAGUCAUGCUUGUAGGAUUGUCCAAGAUCAACUAAAGAGAAUAGUUUAAUUCGUGAAAAAUAGAAGUUGGUGCUGAAGUAAACUGGAGGUUGUAUCAGAACUCAACAAUCGACAGAAUUGGAGAAGCAAAAUGAAAAUCUAUGACACUGUUUUUAUGGAGGAGUGAUGAAAUCAAAAUCAAUGGAGACGUGAAUAUAUUUUUUUCUCUUGCAGAAGUAUAUCAAUAUGUUCGAGUAAAAUGAUGUUUUGCAACUUUGAAUGUUAUUGUUGAACAUUUAUUUAUUUAUUUUAAUAUAUUGCAUUUAUUGAAA